CUCUUACUUUACUUGAUUCUUUCCUCUCUUUUUUCUAAGGAGACUGAGGAAGUUGUUCUUUUCACAUUGAGAGUGGGCCUUGCUUGUUCUUACACACUGACUUUACGAAGUGAACAGGAUGCAGAAGAUAGUAGUAGAAGAAAAAGAAGCAGACGUAUUCAGCUUAUUUCUAUUUCUAGUCCCUCGAAUCUCCCAGUAGAUGCUGUCUUAACCUAAUUUGAGCUGUCCCUCUAAAACUUGGCUUUUCUUUUCUAAGCCUUUUAUUGAAGUACUAAUGGAUGGACACAGAGAAGUGCACGUUACAGAUAUACAGCUUGAUGGAUCAUCAUAAGGUGAACACUCCCAUGAUUUUGAAAUUUAGAUGUUACUAGUAGACAGAAACCCUUCCCAAACCACUUUUAAUACUGCUUUGCCCACCGAUCAACUCCAACACACAAACGCCAGCAAUCCAAGAAGCACUAUUCAGAAGAUCACAAAACAUGGGAAAAGACAAAGCAGAAUAGAGUUGGUAGAGGAAGGUAUGAGCUGAUCUUUGUUUUGUUUGAUCUUAGUUUGAAAAAUACAGUUAGCAGCA
RNAcentral lists this long non-coding RNA (574 nucleotides) under Fukomys damarensis (Damara mole-rat). Its description in RNAcentral is "lncRNA (ENSFDAG00000028475.1)". Lineage: Eukaryota; Metazoa; Chordata; Mammalia; Rodentia; Bathyergidae. The record is from RNAcentral.